Non-coding RNA from Peromyscus maniculatus bairdii (prairie deer mouse), 428 nucleotides. The record is from RefSeq and is a predicted model, not a curated record. Lineage: Eukaryota; Metazoa; Chordata; Mammalia; Rodentia; Cricetidae.
UGCAUAAGCCCCAGGUUUCAAACAGCCAACUCCUGCACUGAGCACAGGACCCAGUCCCACUGCCUGGAUGCUUCCCAAACAGAUCAAGCCAAUCAACUGGAGAGACAUCAUCUUGAUCAGCCCUGGGGCUAUAGUAUCUCAACCCGGAUCCUGACCCUUGAAUCAGAGACUUCUGUUAGAGAAGAAACCUGAACUUAAGCUAAGAUAGAGGUAACACACCGGAAAAAAGGCCAUCAGAACCCCUGAACCUGGAGUAGCAGAUGGUUAUGAUCCUCCUGAUUUGGGUGCUGAGAUCUGAAAUCAUGUCAUUCCCAAGAAUAAUCUAUGCUGAGUGACCUACCAAGCCCAUAAUACUUUUUAACCAAUAAUCUAAAAGUCUUUCAUGGAUUAACAACAACAAAAUCUAAAUAAAUAAAGUAUAUAAAUGA